UGUCAUGUUACACAGGCCUACGUACUUCAGGGCUUCCCAGCUGGUGCAGUGGUAAAGAAUCCACCGUCAGUGCAGGAGAUGCAGAGACGCAAGAGACACGGGUUCCAUCUCUGGGUCAGGAAGUCGCCUGGAGUCGGAAAUGGCAACCUACUCCAGCAUUUUUGCCUGGAAAAUUCCAAGAACAGAGGAGCCUUGUGGGCUGCAGUCUGUGGGGUCACAAAGAGCUGGUUGCACACACACACCUGCACAUAAAGCCAUGACCUGGUUAACUUCGCAUUAAAAUUAAGCAACGCAACAAAAUGAUGAUAGUUUCAACUUUGAGAAAACA
Bos taurus (domestic cattle) is the source of this 328-nucleotide long non-coding RNA. The record is from Ensembl. NCBI's taxonomy places the organism in Eukaryota, Metazoa, Chordata, Mammalia, Artiodactyla, Bovidae.